This 497-nucleotide ribosomal RNA is filed under the name uncultured bacterium. RNAcentral describes it as "partial 16S ribosomal RNA". It matches the Rfam family "Bacterial small subunit ribosomal RNA", at positions 28 to 507 of the family's 1533-position model. The record is from RNAcentral.
GAUGAACGCUGGCGGCGUGCCUAAUACAUGCAAGUCGAGCGGACAGACGAGGAGCUUGCUCCUCUGACGUUAGCGGCGGACGGGUGAGUAACACGUGGAUAACCUACCUAUAAGACUGGGAUAACUUCGGGAAACCGGAGCUAAUACCGUAUAAUAUAUUGAAGCGCAUGGUUCAAUAGUGAAAGACGGUUUUGCUGUCACUUAUAGAUGGAUCCGCGCCGCAUUAGCUAGUUGGUAAGGUAACGGCUUACCAAGGCAACGAUGCGUAGCCGACCUGAGAGGGUGAUAGGCCACACUAGAACUGAGACAAGGUCCAGACUCCUACGGGAGGCAGCAGUAGGGAAUCUUCCGCAAUGGGCGAAAGCCUGACGGAGCAACGCCGAGUGAGUGAUGAAGGUCUUCGGAUCGUAAAACCCUGUUAUUAGGGAAGAACAAAUGUGUAAGUAACUAUGCACGUCUUGACGGUACCUAAUCAGAAAGCCACGGCUAACUACGUG